CCUACGGGAGGCAGCAGUAGGGAAUAUUGCUCAAUGGGGGAAACCCUGAAGCAGCAACGCCGCGUGGAGGAUGAAGGUUUUCGGAUUGUAAACUCCUUUUGUUAGAGAAGAUAAUGACGGUAUCUAACGAAUAAGCACCGGCUAACCCCGUGCCAGCAGCCGCGGUAAUACGGAGGGUGCCAGCGGUACUCGGAAUCACUGGGCGUAAAGAGGGCGUAGGCGGGAUAGCAAGUCAGAUGUGAAAUCCUAUGGCUUAACCAUAGAACUGCAUUUGAAACUGUUAUUCUAGAGUAUGGGAGAGGUAGGUGGAAUUCUUGGUGUAGGGGUAAAAUCCGUAGAGAUCAAGAGGAAUACUCAUGGCGAAGGCGACCUGCUAGAACAUAACUGACGCUGAUGCGCGAAAGCGUGGGGAGCAAACAGGAUUAGAUACCCCUGUAGUC
RNAcentral lists this ribosomal RNA (440 nucleotides) under uncultured bacterium. RNAcentral's name for it is "partial 16S ribosomal RNA". It matches the Rfam family "Bacterial small subunit ribosomal RNA", at positions 338 to 795 of the family's 1533-position model. The record is from RNAcentral.